This 259-nucleotide ribosomal RNA is filed under the name uncultured bacterium. RNAcentral's name for it is "partial 16S ribosomal RNA". It matches the Rfam family "Bacterial small subunit ribosomal RNA", at positions 524 to 776 of the family's 1533-position model. The record is from RNAcentral.
UACAGGGGGCCCGAGCGUUAUACGGAAUCACUGGGCUUAAAGGGGUGCGUAGGCGGAUCAGGAAGUGUUUCGUGAAAACCCGCGGCUCAACCGAUGUGGUCUCGCAGUCGAUACGGGCAGGCUAGAGUUCGGUAGGGGAGACUGGAAUUCCUGGGUGUAGCGGUGAAAUGCGCAGAUAUCAGGAGGAACACCGGUGGCGAAGGCGGGUCUCUGGGCCGAUGACUGACGCUGAGGAGCGAAAGCGUGGGGAGCGAACAGG